UGGCAGAACUAAUGUAACACUGCGUACCUUAAAAAUUUACCCCCAAAAUUUUCUAAAAAAAUCAAAAGGCAGUAACAUGAUACUCAUAUGUAUAUCUCUUUUCAGAAGUACUAGAAAAUUCCCCCCAUCCCCAAUUCAUCUUCCUUCCCCAUGGUUUCACAAAACUCAGCUUCACGUUGCUUCUGUUACUGAAGCAAUACCAUUAUUGUCUCCUGGGCUGACUGGAUCGAUAAUCUUCCGUUGUUCGAGAUGAGCGGCUAAGAUCUCUUCUUGCGAUUGUGCAGUCAUGACGAUGAGAGUUUUAUGAGAAAAAUUCAGUUCAGUUGUUAAAAAAGACUCACGCUGACUCCUAAAACCCUAGACGUCGAAGAAAUUUGUGAAUUUUUCGUUUUUGCGUAGGAUUCAGCGGUCAACACUCGAAAAGAUCCGUGGUAUACUUGAAGUUAGGUUUGGCAUAAAAUAAGUGUCAUGACUAGGUUUUCAAAUGUUCUGUCCUAAGGCUGGAUGAAUCUACCAAGAUGGUUCAAAUCCAACUAAAGAAGAUUGUGGACUAGCAAAAUUACGGAAGCACAUAGAUAUUGAGCAGGUAUCUCUGCAACUUGAUAGUUUAGCAGUUAUCUUUUGUAUUUUCACACCUUUAAACUUUUUUUAUGAAUUGAAAAAGAAAACUUUUAUAGUCAUAGUUCAUAUUUGUGCUUCUAUGUUAUUAUGUUGUACUAUCUUUGUUAAAUUAUGUUAUUACACCAGCAAAAACUUUUACAGUACAAAUAUAUAGAGUUGUAAGAUUGAAUUUUGUCAAUACAUCAGAAUUUUCCCAAUGUUUUUGUGUUUUGCAAUAUUUUGUAUUUCUGCAGUGUGUUUUAUUUCUGUGCAAUGUUUCUAUAGUGUUUUGUAUUUUGCACAACGUUUCUGUAUUUUUGCAUUUCUACACAGUUUCUGCAUUUUCGUAUUUCUGCACUCUUCAACAUUUCGUAUUUCUGCAUAGUAUUUCAACAAAUUAUGCAUCUCUGCAUAAUGUUUCUGCAGUGUGUUGUAUUUCUGGUCAUUGUGGUAUCUAGCCCUUUGAAAAUGCACAUAGUAUGUAUAUAUAUCAGUGUUAUAAUUUGUAUCAUGUACUAUAUUAUCUUCAAUUUUCAUCUUUUUAUGCAUGUCUUGCUCAAUGCUGGUACAUCUUCCACGUUCCUCUGGCUCGUGGUCCGAUUCUUGAAAAGGGAAGCUCUGGUGAGCAAAUUGGAAAUAGUAGCCACAAGGCAAUUUGAUCUGUCGGAGUUUAAUGAUGAAGAGCUUGGACAAUUAUAAUUUAUAUUAUUCUUAAUACUAUAAUAAUUACGGUUGAUUUUGUAAAGUUAAUUGUUAGCAUGCACCUUUGAGCAAUUUGCUUUAUGCGGUGAUGUAUCACACACAAGAUUUAUUCAUUUUUAAAGUUAAUUGCAAGUAUAUGCAUUUGAAUUAU
Non-coding RNA from Nicotiana tabacum (common tobacco), 1453 nucleotides. The record is from RefSeq and is a predicted model, not a curated record. Lineage: Eukaryota; Viridiplantae; Streptophyta; Magnoliopsida; Solanales; Solanaceae.